This 840-nucleotide ribosomal RNA is filed under the name Campylobacter coli. Its description in RNAcentral is "bacterial SSU rRNA". It matches the Rfam family "Bacterial small subunit ribosomal RNA", at positions 594 to 1431 of the family's 1533-position model. The record is from RNAcentral. Lineage: Bacteria; Pseudomonadati; Campylobacterota; Epsilonproteobacteria; Campylobacterales; Campylobacteraceae.
GUGAAAUCUAAUGGCUUAACCAUUAAACUGCUUGGGAAACUGAUAGUCUAGAGUGAGGGAGAGGCAGAUGGAAUUGGUGGUGUAGGGGUAAAAUCCGUAGAUAUCACCAAGAAUACCCAUUGCGAAGGCGAUCUGCUGGAACUCAACUGACGCUAAGGCGCGAAAGCGUGGGGAGCAAACAGGAUUAGAUACCCUGGUAGUCCACGCCCUAAACGAUGUACACUAGUUGUUGGGGUGCUAGUCAUCUCAGUAAUGCAGCUAACGCAUUAAGUGUACCGCCUGGGGAGUACGGUCGCAAGAUUAAAACUCAAAGGAAUAGACGGGGACCCGCACAAGCGGUGGAGCAUGUGGUUUAAUUCGAAGAUACGCGAAGAACCUUACCUGGGCUUGAUAUCCUAAGAACCUUUUAGAGAUAAGAGGGUGCUAGCUUGCUAGAACUUAGAGACAGGUGCUGCACGGCUGUCGUCAGCUCGUGUCGUGAGAUGUUGGGUUAAGUCCCGCAACGAGCGCAACCCACGUAUUUAGUUGCUAACGGUUCGGCCGAGCACUCUAAAUAGACUGCCUUCGUAAGGAGGAGGAAGGUGUGGACGACGUCAAGUCAUCAUGGCCCUUAUGCCCAGGGCGACACACGUGCUACAAUGGCAUAUACAAUGAGACGCAAUACCGCGAGGUGGAGCAAAUCUAUAAAAUAUGUCCCAGUUCGGAUUGUUCUCUGCAACUCGAGAGCAUGAAGCCGGAAUCGCUAGUAAUCGUAGAUCAGCCAUGCUACGGUGAAUACGUUCCCGGGUCUUGUACUCACCGCCCGUCACACCAUGGGAGUUGAUUUCACUCGAAGCCGGA